Molecule: long non-coding RNA, 6976 nt
Organism: Cygnus olor (mute swan)
Lineage: Eukaryota; Metazoa; Chordata; Aves; Anseriformes; Anatidae
Exons: 4
Source: RefSeq, a predicted model, not a curated record
ACGGUGGGGCGGGGGGGAGCUCCAGCCCCGCCCGCAACGGCCGCGGCGCGAGAGGAGCCCGCAGGCGGCCGUUGGGCAGCGGGAGGAGCCGCCAAGCGUGGGCUGUGAGGGGCGGGGGGACGCGGAGCGGCGUUAUUCGGCAGCCUGGUUUGGCACGAGGAGGUUCGCGCCUCUCCUUUGGAGAAGAGGGCUGGCUGGCUGGCUGGCUGACAUCCCCCGAACUGCGGGAGGCUGGCGGCCGGCAGCCGCCUUCACACCGAAGCCAGACUCUGGCCCCGAAGCACCUAUUGCCUCACCCGGCCCUUAGGCAGCGGAGCGCCUCUUAACCUUUCAACUCUCCCUGCCAGCCGCAAGCGUUGCAGUAAGCGUUCUCCGGAGAGAACACCGCGAAACUGCCCAGGCAGCACACGUUGUAAAUGCUAGUGCCUGGAGGAGCCAGUCAGGACUACAGACUUGUUGCUGUGGACAUUGGUUCCAGAUUCACGCCUGGAUAGACUGAUGGAGCACGUGUCACAUGGCUGAAUCAUUGACACUGCCAAUGCUUUGUAGACUGAGUCAUGCUGAUUGUCAGCAAGGGGAACGAGGAAGAGAGACUGAGAGUGAUCCUACUCCUGAGAGCUUUUGGCUGAAAAGUAAGAGUUUAAACUUCAGAAUAAUGUAGCUGACUUUGCUUUAAAUAGAACAGGGAGCUACUUUGCUGGCAUCUCAGCGAGACAGUAGCAAAAUGAAGCUGCAACAACCUGAAAGGCAGAAGACCUCAGAGCUGGUGUCAGUGCUUGAGACCAUUCCCAGGGCAAAGCUGGAAGUUUCUGAGCACUCACUACAUUGUCUCUGGAGGGCUUUAGGCCUGGUAUGGCUCAGUGAUGGUGCUGAGUUAUCUGUCAGCUUGGGGGCGGGGUUGGUUGCUGAGGUAACUGAUUUCCCAAAUACAAAACUGGCUUGGAAGCAAGAGGGUAAAGUGAAAAUCCAAUAGGAAUCCCAAUGAAGAGAAAGUAGGUAGCUUGAACCAGUUCAGACAGGAGGGUGGCCAGAGGCCCUGCUCUUGGAGUACAGAUGUGCAAAGAAGCACCUGACAGUCAUUCUGAGAUAGCUACAGGAGAUCUGUAGUAUAGCAGUAAAUACGCACAAUACCCAGAAAUGUGGGAUAUGAUUGCCUAUUCAAAAGUUUCGAAAAAAUCUAUAUCAGCGGAUCUAAUUUAUGUCAACAAAAAUGUAAAUUAAGAUGUAAAUUUAAGACCUCUGCCUACCUUAACAAAGAUUUACAGUCCUAUGAAACCUAUACCUGGGAUGAAAAUGUUAACCACGCUGUAAUUCCCCAAGUCAUGCAUAUGCUCUUAUUGUUUUACAGGAAGGUCCUUCCUCAGCUUAAUUUAUAUCACUUGGGAAGGAAAUCAAGAUAACAAAAUUGUGUAUACAACUGUGCUGAUGUAACAAAUAGACAAAUCCUAAGUACACAUGGUCUUUUUACCACCUUUCACUGAUUUGUUUAAAGAUACUAUAAAAAUAAUUUAUGAACAUUGUUCCAAGAAGUUGACUUUAAUGUAAUUAAAGCACAUCUAACUUCAUUCAUCUAUAUGGAUGCAAUGUUCAUAUAUAAACUUUUAACAGAGUUUUAACAGAGUUAAGAAUUUGUAAAGGAGUCCACUUUUCCUCAGUUCUCUUAACUAUGGUUUUGCAGGAGUACAAUAAAAAAUGCUUGGAGUACUGUGUAGAUUAAGCAGUAUCUGUCAGAAAUUAAACCUCUAAUAUUUAUGUGAUCAUGAUUAUAUCCAAAUUACACUUUAAAUCAAAUAAACCCUUUGCAUGGAAUGGGGUUUGUGUAUUUUGAUGAGCUUAUACCUCAUAUUUUCGUUAGUUGUAGUAAAAACCUUGAGGAUGUAACUGGUGAAUAAGCAUCUGCAUGGAAGGCAAGUUAGGAUGGAAUGUGCUGAUAAAAGCGAACAGAGAAAUGUCACCAAGUGAGAUGCAUAGAAAUAAGCACUUAUUUGCAGCUGGAUAGUCCUGGUUGUGUGCAUGAAGGAUUAGAAAUAUCUUGGCACCAGAGCCACAGGUAAUGAAAGCUUUUGUUUGUAAAAGUCAGUGCUCAAGGACAAAAGAUGAAAACCAACUUAAACAGCAAGCGAGAGCCAAACUUAUAAGAAUUAGAUUGUUUUGAGUCUGAACUUGGGAAUCAUAACCAUUUGGAUUGUUUUCUCUCCUGAUAGUUUCUUUAUAUGAAGGUAUGUUUGUUAACUCCUAUUGUACAUUUUAUGUACAUACUGUAUCUAUGUACAUACAAAUGUACAAAAUACACCUUUUAAGUCAGACAAUUUCCAUUUUUAGUGGUGUGUAUGUAUCUUAUUGCUGCUCAAUUAAUUAGAAACAGUAAAAUAGAUAGCUAUGAUGUUUCUAUUCCAAAAGUUAAAAAUAAAGGCCAGAUUCUCCUUUCUGAUGCAGCUUUUGCUCCUCUUAAAUAGUUCAGAGAUCACCUUAAAUAGCUUGCUACAUUUUUUUCCCCACCACAUUCUCCAAUGGUGUAUAUGAAACAGGGAAGGAAGCUUUUCUGGUUAGUCUGCUCAUACCCUGUAGUCGAAUUCUCCUGAUCUGGCCUGUAAGGCUCUUCCAGUAACUAACUAUUCAUUAUGACUGGGCUGAUAACCACACAACAAUGAACAAAUGCAUAACUAUUUGCAACCACACACAGAGUUAGUUUUUAAGAAAUAUAUACCAGGUCAUCAUUAAACCAGUAUUCCGCAACAGAAAAUAAUUAAAAUUCAGGGCAACAUCAAAGGGGCAGAAUGUCAAAAUCGAAACAUUUUAGAAAAGCUGCUAACAUUCUGAGAAAUUAAUUGCUAUACGUGUUUUCCUAUGGGAAAUUAUUAAAUUAAUUGAAAAAGCUAUAAUAUGACUGAUAAUACUUACUAUCAUGAUAAAUGAGCAUCACAGAGUCAGUUGUUAAUCAGAAUUAGAGAUUAAAUGGGGAUGGGCUCGUAAGUAUAGACUGUUUUCACCUAAGGCAGUUCUUUGAAAGAAACCUCUUCAUUUUAAUCUUGAACAUUAUGCACCCAGUCCUAGACACGUUUCCUGUUGAAUGGCUUGGCUGAAUGCAGAAAGUCAGAUCUACAAAUGUCUGUGAUGAGGAAAUUCACACACUUUUUCUACCGCACACAACAGUAGGUCCUUUUUGCCCAUACACAGACAACAGAAUUAGCUUUUAGGCCCACUUCCCUCAACAGAAUUGGCUAAAACCAAUGACUGCAGAAAAUAAAUGUCAGAUGCUUGUAUAAAACUUACUAUUAAUUAAUAUUAUUUAAGAAUUUCUGAAUAAGCAAGGCUAGUAGAGAAAAAAAUGAAUGCACAGGAAGGUUGAUAAGGGGUUUUAUAAGAACUAAAAAAGCUGGUAUGUUAUUAUUCUGUAGUAAUCUUAUUGUAGCUGAACCAGCAUGUUUGCCUUUUAUGUAGAAUUACUUGCUGUACUGGUGAUACAAUUAAUGCAAAUACUUUAAUAAGCUUUCAGCUUGAUUUAGCUGUAGCAAUUCCUUAUUUUAUCAUGUCACCCCAGCAGAAAUAUGAAUCCAAAUUCAUUUUACAUUCUGAAGAAAUUUUCACAUGCAUUUCACAUUCUGGUCAGGAAACGCCAGGGGUUGAACAGCAGAAUCCUGGCCAGCUGGAACCAAGGUAUAUGAGGAGUGCUCAAGGAGGAAGCUGACAUAGCUCUUAUUAUCCCGAGAACAUGAUGUUGGCCUGCAUGCACCAUUCACAUGCCUUCAGAAAGUGAAAUGAAGGGCAAGUUUUCCACUUUGUUACUUCACAAAACACGUGGAAAAGUUAUAGAGACUUGUGCAGCCAAAGACGGGUACUGGCAAUAUGGUUCUUGUGUUUCCACACACACUCCCUACUUUGCUGUUGCAGCUACUGGAAUUAGCAUGCAGGAAUCCUGAGGUGUGUUUGUCCCAAACGCCAUGCUAACAGCUAAUUUUAAUCUAGCUGUGGGCUACCAAGAUCCUGGAAGCCACUGGAGUAUGAAUUUCUGGGUCAGCUCUGUACUAAGCUAGCCUCAAAUAAUGGUAAUACAUCUGGGCUGCUGCUCAUGCAGAAGCUAAGAUAAAGCUAUGUGUCCUUUGUGUUCAUAUGUCACAGGCAGAGAGAUACCCAGCCACAGUAUGCACGCACCCCAGCUCCCUCACCUAUUAUUCCAUAUGCAGUUAUUGGUGCAGCAAUGGUGCCAGUCAUCAAGAUAUGCAUACACAUGCCCACAGGUAGAGUAUAAAGUUGAAUGAUAACAUUUUCAUCUCCAGUUUUAGCAUCUGUUUUUUUCUAACAACUUACAUACAAAAUAAGUCCUGUGUUUACCCUUCCUCAACAAUAUUAAGCCUUUUGGUAAAGAAGAAAAUACUAGUACUUAAAACAAUAUAGCCCAACAGAAAACAUACACAUUCCAUUUAGAUAUCGAUACCAAAUUGUAAAGACUUGCAAAGAAUAAACACGAGUCACCUCCACAAAAGUGCUAAUCAGUGAUUCAACAAUUUAGAAAAGAUAAUACCUAAAACACAAGCAAAAGAAGGAAAUUAAAAUAAAUUGGCCUUAUAACUAAAAAUUGUAUUUUUAAUACACUAAAAUUCUGAUACUUAUCUUUGCUGUAUCUAGGAAAUACACCUUUCAUAUAUCUCCACACCUUUCAACCCCUAUAUUGUUGUGGUUUUUUUUCCUCCUUUUAACAUAAGCAGCUAUCUAAGGUUUAGGGUCUUUAGAGCUAUUUCUAAUAGAAAAUUUAGUGAAGGAGUAAUGUACUUUAUGAAAUCCUAUUUAUUUAUAAAAUACAUAUCAAAAGUUGUGCUUUGCUUAGUGUAGCAGGAAUCAAAUAGAAAGGGUAGUAUGUUUCUUUUAGUACUUGUAGAUACUAUUUCCAGCUUGUCUUCUGCUCACAAACUCUGUAUCCAAUCUUAGUUUUAUUCCUAAUCAGCUCUAAGUGCUUCCCUGCUGAUCUCUGGAUAUUUCUUUGAUGCCUUUUUAUGCUUCCCCUCAAACACAGAACUCAACAAGCAGCAGUAUCCUUUGCUUGCAGUCCCACCCAAAGAAAUGCACUUGGUCAUGUAGUUCUGAUUCUUCAGCUGCCCUGCAUGGGAUCUGUGGUUUUAAUGCAGUUCUGGUUAUUUCAGCUAUAUGUUCCACAAAGGAACAGAACUAGAUUUACAUUUUUUUUCUGCCUGAAAAGUUUCUAUCUAUCUGCUUCCUCUGCAUUAUGCAGAAAUCUCAUAACUGUAGUCUCCAUUUACUUUACUUUUCUAGAAGAAAAAAUGUGUAUAUAUCGAAUGGGGAAAGGAACAGAAAGAGUACCAGUGCUGCUGAUGAUAUCAGUGCUGCUGAUGACAUCAGUGCUGCUCACCAUCUGUGGAAAACUGCAUAGUCUAAAUAUCUACUGACAAUUUAAGGUGCUUCAGAAUACUGAGCUUCCAAUGCACUGACCCGGCUUGUGGUGUCACCUCACAUUAGCAUUAGGAAUUGAUGGUCAAGGCAGGCACACCUGGCUGCCUGGACUUGAGAAACUCUUCAUGGGCAAUUACAUCUGCCACCAAGGAGCCAUACUGGCAUGCUUCGAAAUACUGAUGUGUUUUGGAGCGAACAGCCUAGAAUUACACAGACCAGAAUGAGUUAAUAAACUGAAUAUUAUGUUACUAGAUUACUAAAAUUAUUAAUGCGUGUAUGUUGUUCUCUGCAAAUGAAAAGCUUCUCCUAAGUGCUAAGAAUUUAUUCUGGGUGUAUUUUUAAUAUAAUAAAAUCCUAGUCCUGUUUUACUCUACUCAUUGUUACUUAAUCAAUUUUAAUGGAAUGAAUAUGAUUAUAGAGAUUAAAAUUUAUCUAAACAGGACUAACUUGAACUCUGUCUUAUUAAACAGGAAGAAAUAUACUUCGAUAAAUGUACAUAUAGCUUACAUAAGCUUCAGUUGAACAUAUAUUACUAACAGUACCACUAAAGUUAUAGCUUAAAUGUACUUUUUUACUCUCAGAGAACUUCAGAUUUUUUUUGCCUGUCCCCUGGCUGAACAUCUUUAGUUAUUUCUGAGCAAUUUCAGUUGAUCGCUGUGCCUGAGAUGUAAAAGCUGCAAUAGUAAGUUUGUGUUUUCAAAAUUAGCUUCCACUUGAACACUAAUAAAUCAUAGAUGUAAAUCCCCUAUCCUUAGAUUUUCUAGAAAUUUGUUUCCUCAAAAUUUAAAGUCUGCAUUACAAUUUAACCUACAAGUGUCCAUUUUAGGCACAAUCAUAAAAAGAUUAGUUGAGCUUGGAGUCCUGCUUAAGGGACAGGAAGGAAAGGACAUACUAGUUUUCUUGCAAGAAUAAAAUAAAACAAAGCACAUAGUGCAUUCAAAGAAAAAGCAUUCCUGGAGAGCACUGUGAUCACAGUCAUUCUGAAGACCCAUUAUGUUCACUUGCAACAAUUCUGUGAUCUUCAGUAUGUGUUCUCAUUUCAAAAUAACACAGCACAGUCCAUUUAAUGCAUUUCUAACUUCUGUGGUUUUGGAACUGAAUUAAAAACAUGAAAGGAGCAUAAACUGUUAGUGCCAUCUUACCAGCUUUCACAGGCAGCGGUUACUAACUCUUGUUCUUCUCCACAGGGUAUCACAGAUCCACCGUUCUGCAGCUUUUGAGUUUGCCUUGGGGGUGAAGCCAACACCCAGCUGCCUAAAGGAGAUUGAAGGGAGCUGCACAACCACACGAAUGGUAUGCCAUGGCAUUCUGCUCUCCCAGCUGGAGCUGACCUCAGAGCAGGGACUUUGGAAGGAACCUCCCUUACACUGCCCACCACAUCUCUGCUUUGUUUAAUCAUUACAGUAGUGACUGGCAUACAGUAAUCAAGACUCCUCAACUUUUGUCUUAAACCUAACUUUGACAUUUCAAAUAUGUCUCUGUUUUCUUCAGCUCAUACUAUUUUAACGGGUAUUUGAUGUAAUCCAGUUUGUAAAUACUUAACAAAUAUAAAUACUUGAACUACUCUCUG